UUAACUGUCUCCCCUCCCCAGNCAAUGAAAUUGAUCUCCCCGUGCANAAGCGGGGAUAAUACCAUAAGACGAGAAGACCCUAUGGAGCUUUAAACGUCAGGCANCCCAUGUAAAGCACCCCUUAACAAAGGAAAAAACCAAAUGAAGCCUGCCCUAAUGUCUUUGGUUGGGGCNACCGCGGGGAAAUACAAAACCCCCAUGUGGAGUANGAAUACACAUUCCUAAACCCAAGAGCUCCCGCUCUAAUGAACAGAAAUUCUGACCAAUAAAAUCCGGCACACGCCGAUCAACGGACCGAGUUACCCUAGGGAUAAC
RNAcentral lists this ribosomal RNA (315 nucleotides) under Pagrus major (red seabream). RNAcentral's name for it is "partial 16S ribosomal RNA". The record is from RNAcentral. Lineage: Eukaryota; Metazoa; Chordata; Actinopteri; Spariformes; Sparidae.